UACGGGGGGUGCAAGCGUUGUUCGGAAUCAUUGGGCGUAAAGCGCGCGCAGGCGGCUUGGUAAGUCAGAUGUGAAAUCCCUGGGCUUAACCCAGGAAGUGCAUUUGGUACUGCCUCGCUAGAGUACGGGAGAGGAAAGUGGAAUUCCUGGUGUAGAGGUGAAAUGCGUAGAUAUCAGGAGGAACACCGAUGGCGAAGGCAACUUUCUGGCUCGAUACUGACGCUCAGGCGCGAAAGCGUGGGGAGCAAACAGG
This 253-nucleotide ribosomal RNA is filed under the name uncultured prokaryote. RNAcentral's name for it is "partial 16S ribosomal RNA". It matches the Rfam family "Bacterial small subunit ribosomal RNA", at positions 524 to 776 of the family's 1533-position model. The record is from RNAcentral.